This 813-nucleotide non-coding RNA is filed under the name Coptotermes sjoestedti. The record is from RNAcentral. Lineage: Eukaryota; Metazoa; Arthropoda; Insecta; Blattodea; Rhinotermitidae.
GAGGAGUUUUAUUCUUGCUUGUCCGUUCAUUAUUUUGCUUGCUCUAUAUGUAAGUUUGUGCGUGAUUGUCCUACUGGUUCUAGAUGGUCCGGGGGGCUGAUGUGUUAUUCUCAUUAGUUGUUAUUAUUAAUCAAGUAUUCUUGUAGUUAGUAAUGUAUUUUAGUUUCGGUUAAAUUUUGUGCCAGCAGCCGCGGUUACACCUUGGAUGCAGUUGAACGUGUUUGGCUUGUGGUAGUUAUAUUAUAUUUGGAUUGGUUAGGUUUUAUUUUUGGGGGUUGGUUGGGUGAAAUUUUUAUUUUUGUUAUUUUCCUUUUUUUUGUUUUGAGGCUAUGAAAUUCUUUCUUUAAACUAGGAUUAGAUACCCUAUUAUUUUGGGAUGUUAAUUUUUGUGUCAGAGUAGUACUAGGUAUGUUCUUGAAACUUAAAGAAUUUGGCGGUAUCUUAUUCCGUUCAGAGGAAUCUGUCUCGUUAUCGAUAGUCCGCGUUGGACCUUACUUAGUUGCUAUGGUUUGUAUACCGCCGUUUAUUGAUUAUGCUUUUAGGGGUUUUAAUUUUCUGGUUUCUUUAUUCUGAUUUAUUUCAGGUCAAGGUGCAGCUUGUUUCUAAGUGUUAUUGAUGGAUUACAUUGGUUUAUUGUUGUUUGGAUUAUCAAUUGGAUUGUUGGUAUGAAAUUGGAUUUGAUUGUAAUGUUCUGAAGAUUGUUUUCGUGAUAAUUGGUUCUAAGAUAUGUACACAUCGCCCGUCGCUCUCGUUUUUUGUUAAUGAGAUAAGUCGUAACAAAGUGGUUGUACCGGAAGGUGUAGCUGGAGUGAU